Molecule: ribosomal RNA, 253 nt
Filed under: uncultured bacterium
Lineage: Bacteria
Description: partial 16S ribosomal RNA
Rfam family: Bacterial small subunit ribosomal RNA
Source: RNAcentral
UACAGAGGUCUCAAGCGUUGUUCGGAUUCAUUGGGCGUAAAGGGUGCGUAGGCGGCGCGGUAAGUCGGGUGUGAAAUCUCGGAGCUUAACUCCGAAACUGCAUUCGAUACUGCCGUGCUUGAGGACUGGAGAGGAGACUGGAAUUUACGGUGUAGCGGUGAAAUGCGUAGAUAUCAGGAGGAACACCAAUGGCGAAGGCAGCUCGCUGGGACGUGACUGACGCUGAGACGCGAAAGCGUGGGGAGCAAACAGG